Molecule: microRNA, 22 nt
Filed under: Ascaris suum (pig roundworm)
Lineage: Eukaryota; Metazoa; Nematoda; Chromadorea; Rhabditida; Ascarididae
Description: asu-miR-43e-3p
Gene: asu-miR-43e-3p
Source: miRBase by way of RNAcentral
UAUCACAGUUCUUUGCUACCUC